This 2602-nucleotide long non-coding RNA is filed under the name Homo sapiens (human). Its description in RNAcentral is "HSALNT0076362". Lineage: Eukaryota; Metazoa; Chordata; Mammalia; Primates; Hominidae. The record is from RNAcentral.
GCCAUGUGUGAGAGAAGCAAGCAAUGCACUGUGACUAGAACAGGGAAGAUGAUGAGAAUUCUGGCUACAGUAUCCACAGGACACACAGAAGACAUCACAAAGCAGCCGGAUCUGUAGACCUGAAGUAUCAGAGAGUGGAGGCUGAAGGUAUUUGAGCAGAGACCAUAAUUUUGUCCUUCUAUCCCUUCUCUUUUUCUUCUUUGAAGUUAUUAUACUCACAGUUUUCACAGAGUAUGUGACUACUGAUUGCCCAGCCUCUCUUGAAGCUACAUAUGGCCAUGUGACUAUAUCCUCAUCGAUGUAAUUUCAGCACAACUGUUGUGUACAAGUUCUUUACCACUUCCUCAGGAGGGAAGUCUUGACCUUCGUUUCCUGGAUAUUGGAACACAGACAUGGUGCUGCUAAACUACUCCGGAUUUUGUAGAUAAGGAUAACACAUUAGGGAAUGGUGGAGCAACAAGAGAGAUGAAAACUGAGUUCUUUGAUGACCUCAUGGGCAAAACGACCCAUCUACCUCUUUGUUACAGCAGCUUAGCCUCACUCUGACUGAUGCAGGGAUCAUCAACAUAUAUUGAAACAUGAGGAUGAAUGAGAUUACCCAGGAAAAGAAGAAAAGAAACUUAAAGGAGCACAAUAAUAAAUAGCCAAUGUCUAAAAGGUGAGCAGAGGCCCUUUGAUGAGACUGAAAAGAAGGAAAACCACAGAGACAGGAAGAGAUCAAGAGAGAGGAGAGGAGUGUUUCAAAAAGGAAGACCCAUUUAGGAAUAUAAAAUGGGGCAGAAGGAAACUAAGAUGGAGAUUAAAAAGAAGCUAAUGAAUUUCGUGACUUUGGCCAGAACAAUGUCAGUGAAGUAAUAGGGUGGACGAAUGGCCUAUUAAAAGUUAAUAGGGUUGGGUGCGGUGGCUCAUGUCUGUAAUCCUAGCUAGCACUUUGGGAGGCUAAGCAGGGCAGAUCGAUUGAGCCCAGAGUUGGAGGCCAGCCUGGGCAACGUAGCAAAACCCUGUCUCUACAAAAAGUACAAAAAGUACUUAGCUAGGUGUGGUGGGACGCUUGUAGUCCCAGCUACUUAAGAGGCUGAGGUGGGAGGAUCCCUUGAGCCAGAGAGGCUGCAGUGAGCCGUAAUUGUGCCACUGCACUCCAGCCUGGGAGACAAAGUGAGACCCUAUCUCAAAAAAAAGAAAGAAAGAAAAAAAUUUAAUAGGAAGGAAAGAAGCAGAUUCAGUUAGGAAAGACUACUGUUUCAAGAAGUAAGAAGAAAUGGAGAAAAACAUAUACAGGUUUGCCCAAAUUCCUAAGUGUGGGGCAAAGUAAAGCCAUGGUAACUCAAAGGAAUUAGAAACCAAAUAAGAGGAUGUAUUUACUGUCCUGGAUCUGGUUGGGCACGCCCAUCAGUCAUAACACCAGAAAUAAGGAAGGAAGUCAAGGUAAGUUUUGAUCCUACCCCAGAACCACCGAUGUGAAGACAACAUCCCAAGAAAAUCACCAACAUUUAAAAAUAACUUGAGAAUCUACAUUUCUGUAAACUUUUUUAGUAAAUACUUGUACGUUGACAGGUAUUUCCAAACUAACAUUGGUGGUGCCUCUAUUACAUGAUGGCAAUAUUAAACCCACACAGACACAAAGGAAGGGAAGUGAAUGUCAGUUAAUUUCCCAGAAGACACACGAUUUCCAUCUAUCACAUCCCUGCAGUUAGAACACUUCCAUUCAACUUCCCCAACCCCAGGAGAGGGCUCCACGUACCUGCCCUUAAUUAAUUGGUUUCUAUUCUCACACCUUCCUCUUAGGUCAUCAUUUUCUGGGAUAAUUGGUAUCUAUGAAAUCUCACUAGAGUCAGUUUCCUUCUACUAAAAAGAAGCUUAAAUUGCAACCUAAGGAAGAAAUCUAUUCUAUAUUUAACUAACUUUGUCCCUGUUGUUUAAUAACUAGUCCUAUUUGCUGCAUCCUGAAGUUAUAUAUACAGGGAAAAGUCAAAAAAAAAAACACCUAAGUACAUAAUGUUCAUCAAUAUUUGAGCCCUAACCUCAGAAAAUUGAUUAUACUGUUGAUUACAAUUUAUUUAUUCUAAUAAUUAGGCAAUAUAUGUUGCAUUACUCCACAUUCUUUUACUUGCUGGUGAACUUUUAUACUCAUAUUUUAAGUACAGAUUUUACCAAAAUAAAAAGUUUUGAUAAGUGUUUUGCAAUUUUGUUAGCAUGGUAGGAUUUUUAUGAACCAAUGUCUACUCCUUUCUACAGCUGUACUUCUUAUUUAAGUUACGUCGUCACAGUGGGGAUACUAUCAUAUAAACCAAGACUGAUAUAAGAAAUUUCUCUCUGAAAUAUGUUGCUGUGCUUGGUGUAAAGAUAAGUUGAAUAUGUUUUUACGUUAUUCCUUAUAUUACACAGCAAACUCCUUCUGAUAUCCCAUGAGAGGAUUUUCUCAUUGAUUCUGGUUCUAGGAAUAGCUAUGAUUCAUGUGAGCAACUGACAUCUUAAUUUUAUGGAUACUAAAAAUCAAAUAACCAAUUGCUUUCUUCACUGGCUCCUAGUAACCUUAACACCAAACAAUGUCCUCCCCCUACAGAUGCAUAAAAUUUUAUGACAAAUAUUUUUAAGAACUAGG